GCCACUCCUCGUUUCCCCAAACACACCACACACCCACCCAAUCUAGCGAUUCCUCUCGAUCCAGCGCAUGGUCUUGGUGCGGGCGGUGAAGACCUAGGCGGCGCGUUCGGCGACCUAGCUCCGCCCCUACACCAGCCCCUCCUUCUAACCGAUUCCACGGCCGGCGGGAGGAGCUCGUCGUGGCGCUGGAUUAAUUGGCGGCGGGGAGGCUCGGAGGAAGAGAUUGCGGUCACUUGCGUGGAGCUUCUGCUACCUGCGACCACCACCCCAAGCUGCUUCCAGAGGCGACGUCCCCGAGCUCCUGCCACCGGCCACCUCUCCGGCAUGCUGCUGCCGGUCACCUCGUCAGCCAUCUGCUGCCCGGUAGCUGUGUAUAAAUUUAUAUGCGAAGACACUAUCAAGGAGAAAAAUAUUGCAAAGGGCAAAAGCAGAAAAAAUUAGUACAAGAGUUGGUAAUGAACGGGAAACAAGUCCAGGAUGAUCAUCUGAUCAGACAAGAGGAUAUAGUUUCAUUACUUCUUGACGAUAAACAGAUCGCACACAAAUUGGAAGAAAUACUAAUGCAGUUCAUUUCGAUGUGAGUUCAUUUCGACGUGACCCGACCGUUCCGGCUC
Non-coding RNA from Lolium perenne, 614 nucleotides. The record is from RefSeq and is a predicted model, not a curated record. NCBI's taxonomy places the organism in Eukaryota, Viridiplantae, Streptophyta, Magnoliopsida, Poales, Poaceae.